CCUACGGGAGGCAGCAGUGGGGAAUAUUGCACAAUGGGGGAAACCCUGAUGCAGCGACGCCGCGUGAGUGAAGAAGUAACUCGUUAUGUAAAGCUCUAUCUGCAGGGAAGAAAAUGACGGUACCUGAGUAAGAAGCCCCGGCUAACUAAGUGCCAGCAGCCGCGGUAAUUGGUAGGGGGCAAGCGGUAUCCGGCUUUAAUGGGGGUAAAGGGGGCGUAGACGGCAGUGCAAGUCUGGAGUGAAAGGCGGGGGCCCAACCCCCGGAGUGCUGUGGAAACUGUACGGCUGGAGUGCAGGAGAGGUAAGUGGAAUUCCUGGUGUAGCGGUGAAAUGCGUAGAUAUUAGGAGGAACACCAGUUGCGAAGGCGGCUUACUGGACUGUAACUGACGUUGAGGCUCGAAAGCGUGGGGAGCAAACAGGAUUAGAUACCCCAGUAGUC
RNAcentral lists this ribosomal RNA (440 nucleotides) under uncultured bacterium. Its description in RNAcentral is "partial 16S ribosomal RNA". It matches the Rfam family "Bacterial small subunit ribosomal RNA", at positions 338 to 795 of the family's 1533-position model. The record is from RNAcentral.